Molecule: long non-coding RNA, 1324 nt
Organism: Equus caballus (horse)
Lineage: Eukaryota; Metazoa; Chordata; Mammalia; Perissodactyla; Equidae
Source: Ensembl
GGCCCAGGCUGUUUGUGAAGCAGCAGCUCUCUCCACUCCAUCAGAGCAGCCAGCCAAGUGUGGACCCUCCCAGUCUGACUCCUGAAGCAUUAGUCAGACGCCAGCCCACCGAGCUCUAGAGGCCACACAGGAAGUAUUCCAGCUGGUCCCAGCAAAAUUCCUUUCCUUAGUCCUGGGGUACCUUGCACAAGCAGAGAGCAGUGCACCACCCUACAGAGAGGCGAGCAGCCAAGCCAGCCCCAGCUUGUUCCUGAUGGGGGCAGCCGCACAAAUGCAGAGCAGCGACACUUCAGCAGAAGCAAAACGCCCAGCUGUGACUAACGAGGGCUCUGGUUCCCUCCUCGUCCUCCCAUCCCAGGCUUCUGGUUCUCUGAACUGGGAAAGAAUAUAUAUGAGUGCCUGUGAGUCAGGAACCCUGGAGUGGCUUAGCUGGGUGGUCCUGGCUCUGCAUCUCUCAUGGGGCUGAAGCCAAAGCGUCAUCUGAAGGUUUGACUGGGGCCAGCAGAUCUACUUCCAAGAAUGUCCUGGUGAUGAAGCAGAGCAAGUGACCCAAGAUGGAGAGAGCAACCAGGAGGGAAGCUGCAGCACCUUUAUAGGACCUAUUUUCUAGAGUUGCACACCAUCACCUCCACUUUAUUCUUCCCUUCGGAUUGAGUUGCUGAGUCCAGCCCAUACUUAGGGGGAGAGGAUUUAUAUCCCUCUCUUCAGAGGUGGAGCAUCAAAGAAUUUAUGAAUAUAUUUUUUAAACCCCCACAUGGAGCACAGAAUAUUUUUUUAAAUGGUUAUACACAAAACCACAAGGAAAGCAUCAACAAUUACAAACAGCAGAAAUUAUACAGACCCCAUUUUUUACUUCAAAGGAUAAGAACAGCUUAAAUAAAUUUUAUAGUUAUAGAGGUAACCACUAGACCCAAAAUUAAACCCUUCCAAAUUAUCAAAAAAAAGCCACAUUCAUGCACACAAACACAGAUAUAUAACAAAAUAUAAAAAAUUCAGAAGAAGCAAUACAAACAGAAUUCAUAAUAUAAAUUCAAAGACAGAAUCAAAUCUAAGCUUAUCUGUCAUGGUAAUUAUUACCAAUGGGCUAACCUUGCUUAAUAAAAGGAAACAACUCACAGAUUUGAUAUUAUGUGUAAGGAUAGUUAUUGUAGCAUUAUUUUUAAUAGUAAGUAUUAGAAAUAACCUUAAUUUCUCUCAAAAAUGAGGUAGCUAAGUAGAUUAUAAGUUCCACACAACGUGACAAUAUACAUCUCUUAGAAAGAAUGAGGUAACACUGUAUUAUACGAGAUAUAAUCUUCCAAAUAUAUUAUGUUUUAAAAAAGCA